This 481-nucleotide ribosomal RNA is filed under the name uncultured bacterium. RNAcentral describes it as "partial 16S ribosomal RNA". It matches the Rfam family "Bacterial small subunit ribosomal RNA", at positions 28 to 507 of the family's 1533-position model. The record is from RNAcentral.
GACGAACGUUGGCGGCGUGCUUAAUACGUGCAAGUCAACUGAAGCAGUGGUAGCAAUAUCGCUGUGGAGGUGGCGCACGGGUGAGUAACACGUAGGUAAUCUGCCUUCAGGUCUGGCAUAACUCCGGGAAACCGGGGCUAAUAGCAGAUGAUGCAGCGGCUCGACAUCGAGACAGUUGUUAAAGCUAUGGCGCCUGAAGAUGAGCCUGCGUCUGAUUAGCUAGUUGGCGGGGUAACGGCCCACCAAGGCAACGAUCAGUAGCUGGUCUGAGAGGAUGAUCAGCCACACUGGAACUGAGACACGGUCCAGACUCCUACGGGAGGCAGCAGUAAGGAAUAUUGCUCAAUGGGAGAAAUCCUGAAGCAGCAACGCCGCGUGAGGGACGAAGGGCUUUUGCUUGUAAACCUCUGUAGUGAGAGAAAAAAAUCCCAAUCUUUGGGACAUGAUGGUAUCUCAAAAGUAAGCCCCGGCUAACUACGUG